UAAUGGGUCAGCGACUUAUAUUCUGUAGCAAGGUUAACCGAAUAGGGGAGCCGAAGGGAAACCGAGUCUUAACUGGGCGUUAAGUUGCAGGGUAUAGACCCGAAACCCGGUGAUCUAGCCAUGGGCAGGUUGAAGGUUGGGUAACACUAACUGGAGGACCGAACCGACUAAUGUUGAAAAAUUAGCGGAUGACUUGUGGCUGGGGGUGAAAGGCCAAUCAAACCGGGAGAUAGCUGGUUCUCCCCGAAAGCUAUUUAGGUAGCGCCUCGUGAAUUCAUCUCCGGGGGUAGAGCACUGUUUCGGCAAGGGGGUCAUCCCGACUUACCAACCCGAUGCAAACUGCGAAUACCGGAGAAUGUUAUCACGGGAGACACACGGCGGGUGCUAACGUCCGUCGUGAAGAGGGAAACAACCCAGACCGCCAGCUAAGGUCCCAAAGUCAUGGUUAAGUGGGAAACGAUGUGGGAAGGCCCAGACAGCCAGGAUGUUGGCUUAGAAGCAGCCAUCAUUUAAAGAAAGCGUAAUAGCUCACUGGUCGAGUCGGCCUGCGCGGAAGAUGUAACGGGGCUAAACCAUGCAC
This 580-nucleotide ribosomal RNA is filed under the name Escherichia coli. RNAcentral's name for it is "partial 23S ribosomal RNA". It matches the Rfam family "Bacterial large subunit ribosomal RNA", at positions 613 to 1194 of the family's 2925-position model. Lineage: Bacteria; Pseudomonadati; Pseudomonadota; Gammaproteobacteria; Enterobacterales; Enterobacteriaceae. The record is from RNAcentral.